Aplysia californica (California sea hare) is the source of this 310-nucleotide long non-coding RNA. RefSeq lists it as uncharacterized. The transcript is spliced from 3 exons. The record is from RefSeq and is a predicted model, not a curated record. Lineage: Eukaryota; Metazoa; Mollusca; Gastropoda; Aplysiida; Aplysiidae.
GGUGAAACGGACAACAGCUGCCAUAUCUCGCCCCAUCUUUGCCGGUAUCCAGGGCCGCAGUGUGACCACUUUGCCCGACGGUACACUGGACCUGGGGGACAUGGAGAGCAAGAUCCGACCCCUGGACGACGUCCGGCAGCCGAGGACCAAGCUCAUCUGUCUGGAGAACACACACAACAACUGUGGAGGCCGCGUCCUGUCCCUGGACUACAUUCACAAAGUCAAAGAGGUGGCAAAGAAACACAACAUCAGUCUUCAUCUGGACGGGGCUCGACUCUUCAACGCAUCCACGGCUCUCAACGUUCCCCCC